GCCAGCAUGGUGUAAUGAUUUGAGUGUCGGACUACAACUCUGGAGACCAGGGUUCGAUUCCCAGCUUGGCC
Non-coding RNA from Phrynosoma platyrhinos (Desert horned lizard), 71 nucleotides. Lineage: Eukaryota; Metazoa; Chordata; Lepidosauria; Squamata; Phrynosomatidae. The record is from the annotation of a GenBank genome assembly.